GAUGAACGCUGGCGGCGUGCCUAAUACAUGCAAGUCGAGCGAACAGACGAGAGUGCUUGCACUCUCUGACGUUAGCGGCGGACGGGUGAGUAACACGUGGGUAACCUACCUAUAAGACUGGGAUAACUUCGGGAAACCGGAGCUAAUACCGGAUAAUAUUUAGCUUCGCAUGAAGCAAUAGUGAAAGACGGUUCUGCUGUCACUUAUAGAUGGACCCGCGGUGUAUUAGCUAGUUGGUGAGGUAACGGCUUACCAAGGAAACGAUACAUAGCCGACCUGAGAGGGUGAUCGGCCACACUGGGACUGAGACACGGCCCAGACUCCUACGGGGGCAGCAGUAGGGAAUCUUCCGCAAUGGACGAAAGUCUGACGGAGCAAUGCCGCGUGAGUGAAGAAGGUUUUCGGAUCGUAAAACUCUGUUGUAAGGGAAGAACAAGUACGUUAGUAACUGAACGUACCUUGACGGUACCUUACCAGAAAGCCACGGCUAACUACGUG
This 498-nucleotide ribosomal RNA is filed under the name uncultured bacterium. RNAcentral's name for it is "partial 16S ribosomal RNA". It matches the Rfam family "Bacterial small subunit ribosomal RNA", at positions 28 to 507 of the family's 1533-position model. The record is from RNAcentral.